UACAGAGGUGCCAAGCGUUAGGCGGAAUCACUGGGCUUAAAGCGCGCGUAGGCUGAUGUUUAAGUGUCUUGUGAAAUCCCACGGCUCAACCGUGGAACUGCUGGGCAUACUGGACAUCUCGAGGCACUCAGGGGCGAGCGGAACAAGUGGUGGAGCGGUGAAAUGCGUAGAUAUCACUUGGAACGCCAAUGGUGAAGACAGCUCGCUGGGGGUGUCCUGACGCUGAGGCGCGAAAGCCAGGGGAGCGAACGGG
This 253-nucleotide ribosomal RNA is filed under the name uncultured bacterium. RNAcentral's name for it is "partial 16S ribosomal RNA". It matches the Rfam family "Bacterial small subunit ribosomal RNA", at positions 524 to 776 of the family's 1533-position model. The record is from RNAcentral.